Molecule: long non-coding RNA, 1468 nt
Filed under: Homo sapiens (human)
Lineage: Eukaryota; Metazoa; Chordata; Mammalia; Primates; Hominidae
Description: family with sequence similarity 66 member C
Source: RNAcentral
UUUUCUUCACCCAUGGUCAGGGAGGCGCCAUCGCCCUGGCUUUGGGGCUGGGGCCUCCGGGGAGGUUCCGGUAGGGGCGUUGGAGAGGCCGCUCUUUUUGCAAGGCCCGAGAUGGCGGGCCCUGCGCAGGCCGCCCUAUUCCGCGCCCUCAGGGCGUCAGUAUCCGCCUGAGGCCGGAUACCCACUCUGGGCUCGGAUACCCGCGCUGGGCCCGGAGCAUCCUCGGCGCUGCCCUCCCAGAGCCCCGCAGAGGCUGAGGUGGCGCGGGGGCGGCCCCGGCUCCGCGAGAAGAGGCGGCAGCGAGGGCUGGAGGACCCGGGCUACGGGGCUCCGGGGCGUCUGGCCUGGGUGGGACUGAGCCCAUCCAGGGACUGGGACUCCGGGGUUCUGGUGUAGGUGGAUCCCGGGCAGGCUCAGGACCAAGACCCUCUCCUUCCACCAAGGAGCGCCCAGAGGCCGGCGGGAGCUCCAGGUUCACCUCCUCCUCCUCCAGGGUUAUUUCAAGUCCCAAAAGCAAGGAUGAACAUCUAGAACGAGAAGAAAAACAAUCUGGAGGUUAGUAUGUGCACACCUGUGGACUCCUGUGUUAACUUCUGGUGUUUCAGCCUAAGAGGGAAUGUUAAUAUAACCCUGGUCCUAGAACACCAUGCUGACCAACACCUACCAGCUUUCAGGAGAUAAGACAGCUGGCUGAUGGGGCAGGGAUCCAGAGAAGGCACGGGUCCACACCUGCACAUGUUGCCCAGUGGCAGAGUUCAUGACAAGCAAUAAGCCCCAGGACAAUGUCAUUCCCAGCUACCUGGCUGUCAUCUGCUCUUUCAUGGCCCCUCUCUACUGGUACCUCUAGGCACUGGCAUGUCCUCCAGAGGCUGCAGGAGGGCAUGAUACUCAGUACUCUCCCAACUGCAGGAGGGAAGAAAGAUGGAAACAGCUAAAUACCAUGGCUUCUGGAUUUUUUUUGCUGGGCAUGGCAUAUUUUGCAUUUGCUUUAAUAAUGCUGGAACCCAGUCAGUGGCUUGCAAUACAGAUCUAGAUGACUCUGGACACCUGUAGAGAUUUUGACAAUUUCCAGAAGGUCACAAGUUCUUGGAGGACUUUUUCAUGAGUUCUUCGACUGAAAAGGUGGUUCAAAGAGCUUCUAUACUGACUUAGAAAAUGUUGCAGAGGCCAGGUGCGGUGGCUUAUGCCUGUAAUCCCAGCACUUUGGGAGGCCAAGGCAGGCGGAUCAUGAGGUCAGGAGUUUGAGACCAGUCUGACUAACAUGGUGAAACCCCCUCUCUACUAAAAAUACAAAAAUUAGCCGGGCAUGGUGACACACACCUGUAAUCCCAGCUACUCAGGAGGCUGAGGCAGGAGAAUCGCUUGAACCUGGGAAUCGGAGGUUGCAGCGAGCCAAGAUCAGGAUUCCAGCCUGAGCGACGGAGCGAGACUCUAUCUCAAAAAAUAAAUAAAUAAAUAAAUAAAUAAA